Molecule: long non-coding RNA, 1549 nt
Filed under: Homo sapiens (human)
Lineage: Eukaryota; Metazoa; Chordata; Mammalia; Primates; Hominidae
Description: long non-coding RNA NONHSAT091526.2
Source: RNAcentral
CCGGGGCCGAUUCAGCGCUCGGCCGCCCUCAGCGCCCAGGUACCGGGUCCCGGGCACCCCCCGCCGGGAAUGCACUGCCUGCGGCGGGCCGCGCCGAUCCUAUCCGCCCCGCCGCUGGCCGCAGGGCUCCCUCCCCGGCCGCGCUGGCUCCCCGCCUCCCCGAGCCCCAGCCUCACCCGGCUGUCAUCACCACAUUGUAGAUGACCAGGUACGCCGUGGCCAGGGGCCCCGGGCCCUUCUUCUUCCGCGUGCCGCUGGCGUCCCCGGCCCCGGCCCUGCCACCGCCGCCCCCAUUCCCCUUCGCUGCUGCAGUCGCCGCCACUGCCGCCAUGUCAAGUGCCCGAAGCCCGCUCUCCUAGCGCGAGCGGCUCGGGCCGGACUACGCGAGGAGAGGGGGCGGAGGAAGGGACGAGGGGCAGGCGGGGCCAGGGCCGCGGGGCGGAGCCGGGACAGGGUCCACGGCAGCCGCCAUCUUGGCUGAGGGCAAAGACGCUCCUGGCGCUCCCGUCUUUCGGCUUGCCUCAGUUGCCACUGCCAUCUUGGAUCAGGGUAAUUCCCGCCUCUUGGGCGCUCCCGGUUACAACCUCGGCGCCAUCUUGGAUUAGUUCAAUGUAGCCACCCUCUCCAGGCCCGCUGCUUCUGCCAGCUGGAUGUUGCGUCGUCCCUCGCUAUUCGCCCUCCUAUAAUCACUGCUUCCAUGUUGAAUCAAAACAAUUAUGCUUUCGUUCUCCCUUCUUCAAUUGCCCUAUCUUCACACCUGAACACUAUUGCUCCGGUAUCCUGCCAUUUUGGAUCAGGGCGGUUGACGGUGGAUUCACUUCCCAUCAGCCCUUGAGGCUGCAGGGACCAGCCCUUUGUACAGUGGAGAAGCCCAGGCGGCCUAGAAUCCAGUGUCGUCCGUGAGUGCUUGGCUGGUGUUCAAGUGCAUCUUCCAGCCUGAGACCGCGUGGACUCGCUCAUCGUGAGGGCGAGAGGAGGAUAAGCCCAUUGGGCUGUCGGCUGAGAGUGAGACCAUCCACAAUAUUGUUUGAACAUCUGAAGACAUGGGGAACUUGCCAUCUGAUAUCUGAUAACAGACUUCCUGUAAAGCAGGACUGGUAGUUUCCUGAUAACAAAUUCUUCAAUAUGAAGGAUAUAGCUGUGUCCUUUACAACUGGUAGCAUGGAAAGAAAGAGAAGUCUGCAAAGAUUGAACAAACAGCAUGCACUGUGGUAUCCUUUAUUUAAAAAUUGUGAGCUGACUACAGUUGUAGUGUUCUCAUUUACCAUUCUGAUGGCAUAAUAAACCAAGAGAACAUUAACACAAUUCCAAGAAGGCAUUAACCUGUAACACACAUAUACGCCACACAUGCACACACACAACAUACACGCACACAAAGGUUAUAUUCUGAACACAAAAGUGAUAGAAAAAAGCUUUGAAUGCGCUAAAUCAAAUAAAAACCCUUUAUUAUAAUAAACUGUGGCAAUACUGUGGCUAUCAUGAAAAAUAUUGUAACUAUUUUAAAAGCAAAAGGAAAAAUACUGGCAGUUUGAAACUAGCAGCAAAAAGC